GUGGGUAUAGCUCAGUGGUAGAGUGCAUGCUUAGCAUGCACGAGGUCCCAGGUUCAAUUCCCAGUAUCCCCA
RNAcentral lists this transfer RNA (72 nucleotides) under Camelus bactrianus (Bactrian camel). It matches the Rfam family "tRNA". From Rfam's summary of the family: Transfer RNA (tRNA) molecules are approximately 80 nucleotides in length. Their secondary structure includes four short double-helical elements and three loops (D, anti-codon, and T loops). Further hydrogen bonds mediate the characteristic L-shaped molecular structure. tRNAs have two regions of fundamental functional importance: the anti-codon, which is responsible for specific mRNA codon recognition, and the 3' end, to which the tRNAs corresponding amino acid is attached (by aminoacyl-tRNA synthetases). tRNAs cope with the degeneracy of the genetic code in two manners: having more than one tRNA (with a specific anti-codon) for a particular amino acid; and 'wobble' base-pairing, i.e. permitting non-standard base-pairing at the 3rd anti-codon position. RNAcentral also lists the same sequence under 2 other names. The record is from Rfam by way of RNAcentral. Lineage: Eukaryota; Metazoa; Chordata; Mammalia; Artiodactyla; Camelidae.